CCUAAGCCACCUCAUUUGGUUUGGUAUAAAGGGCAGAGGUAUGUGUGUGCUCCAGAUGCUAAGGAGGAUCCUCCUAAAAUCAUAUCUGGUGAGUUUUUUUUGGUUGUUGUUUCAUAUAUUUUGUCAUUUGUUUUGUUUUAGUUCUGCCUGUACUUUGUUAUAUAAUUUGUGAAGCAAGUGCUUACAUUUGAAGCUGGAGUCUUUGCUGCGAAAUGAUUAUGUUAUCAUUUUCUUGAGCCGUUUUCUUAUUCCUCAUUAAUGUCGUUGAUGAUGCUGUCAUUGAGUACUUUAAGUGGGUUGAUGGUAUUGCAGACUUUUUUUUUUUAAAGUUGAAUGGGAACAUCUAGGACUUAGCGUAGUACUCUGAUAAUUUUUACUCAUCAUGGGAUAGUUAGGGAUGACAGCCUUCUGAGAUGUUUACUCUUUGACGCUGGCAUUAUUGUAAAAGUUCUCCAAUUUGGCAUGAUUUUCCAUGCAACGCAUUCAUAAUGUCUGAGAUUCAUCACCUAGUUGGGCAGGCAAGAACUUGGCAUGAUUUGAUCAAGAUUUUCUUUUGGCUUUGCAGUGGCUUGGCCUUUUCAGACCAUGCACUGUCUUUUAUUUAGGUGAAAUUUGGCCGUGCUCAUAACACUGAAAUUAUCUACUGCUUAGCUACUAGCUAGUGAAGGCGAUCAGUCCUUUGAUCCUUUCACAAGGGUGUUGGAGCUAAUCUUAAUUGAAUGAUUAUGUUGCUUUAAGUUUAGUGGUUACAGUCAAUCUUUUUUUGUUCCCUUUCCAAUAGCUAGAAUUCUACUCAGUAUAAGCUUCAGCAGCACAGGAACACUAAAUCUUUCAAUCUUGAAGAAGUAAUUUCGUUUGAAUAUGGCCUGUUCUACU
Molecule: unclassified non-coding RNA, 876 nt
Filed under: Hevea brasiliensis (rubber tree)
Lineage: Eukaryota; Viridiplantae; Streptophyta; Magnoliopsida; Malpighiales; Euphorbiaceae
Source: RNAcentral